This 301-nucleotide ribosomal RNA is filed under the name uncultured bacterium. RNAcentral's name for it is "partial 16S ribosomal RNA". It matches the Rfam family "Bacterial small subunit ribosomal RNA", at positions 509 to 807 of the family's 1533-position model. The record is from RNAcentral.
CAGUCGCCGCGGUAAUACGAAGGGGGCUAGCGUUGUUCGGAAUCACUGGGCGUAAAGGGUGCGUAGGCGGAUUCUUAAGUCAGGGGUGAAAUCCCGAGGCUCAACCUCGGAACUGCCUUUGAUACUGGGGAUCUUGAGUCCGGAAGAGGUGAGUGGAACUGCGAGUGUAGAGGUGAAAUUCGUAGAUAUUGGGAAGAACACCGGUGGCGAAGGCGGCAACCUGGUCCUUGACUGACGCUGAGGCGCGAAAGCGUGGGGAGCAAACAGGAUUAGAUACCCCUGUAGUCCCUGUCUCUUAUAC